RNAcentral lists this ribosomal RNA (106 nucleotides) under uncultured bacterium. RNAcentral describes it as "partial 16S ribosomal RNA". It matches the Rfam family "Bacterial small subunit ribosomal RNA", at positions 1380 to 1482 of the family's 1533-position model. The record is from RNAcentral.
CUUGUACACACCGCCCGUCACACCAUGGGAGCGGGUUCUGCCAGAAGUAGUUAGCCUAACCGCAACCCGGAGGGCGAUUACCACGGCAGGGUUCGUGACUGGGGUG